AUGCUCUGAGGGCCAGUCCCAGCUACUUUCCAGCUGUGUGAGCUGAGGCCAGUUACCUAAAUUUCCCGUGCAUCAGUUUCCUGCAUUGACAAACCUCUGGUAAGGAUUUCUGCCCUACAUAGCUCACAAUACCAAAAUGAGAAAAUGGGAAAGUGCUAAGAAUUAUAAAGCAUUCAAAUAUGAGGUCUUAUGACUGCUAACACAGACUUCUGCCCACAAUAAUCACUAGAAGACGUACGGGUUAUGUAUGUUCAAGUCACCUAUAAAGUAACAAAUCAGCAACUUCCUAUCCAAUCCACUACAUAGCUUCCUCCCAUAACCUAACCAUGUGUGUGCUAAUAGCCUACCUACAAAUGGAUUUCUCUCUAUGACAUUCAACACCCAUUAAUAUUUAUGCAGCUGUGUCCAGGUUAAAAAAUAAGUCAAGCCAAGGUAAGAGGCAUUUUUUAAAAAAUUAUUUUAUAAGUUAAACAGUAAAAUUGACUUUUUUCCCUUUUGGUGUAGAGUUCUAUAUAUUUUAACACAGCUGUAGGUUGGUAUAACCACCACCACAAUCAGGAUACAGAACAGUUCCAUCACCCUAAAAAAAUUCCCUAUGACUCUUCCUUUAUAGUUCCACUCUUUCCCCUGCCCCAGCUCCAAAAACCAUUGAUCUGUUCUCUAGAUCUAUUCUGAUAUUUUCAAAAUAGGUCAGAUAAAUUGAAUUAUACAGUAUACAGCCUUUUGAACCUGCCUUUUUCCAUUCAGCAUAAUGCCUUUGAAAAUCAUCCAAGUUAUCACAUGUAUCAUCUGUUCUUGUUUAUUGCUGAAUAGUAUUCCAUGGUAUGGAUAUACCAGUUUGUUUAAUCAUUCAAUUGUUGAAGGACAUCUGGUUUAUUUCUAGAUCUUGGUAAUUUUAAACACAACAGCUAUAAACAUUUAUGUAUCAGUUGUUGUGUCAUCAUAAGUUUUCGUUACUCCAGGAUAAACCCCAAGAGUGGGAUUGCUAUUAAACAGUGACUUGUAAAUAUCAACAUCACAUUAAACAUCCAGAUUUUAUUCAAGUCAUCCUCAUAAUAUAAGAGACUGAUAUCACUAUUAAUCAAUGCUCAAAAACUAAUAUGCCCUAACCCCUUUGAAAAUUUGAGUUGUUUCAUCUACAGCCAUACCACUCUGAACACACCCCAUCUCAUCUGAAAAUUUGAGUUGUUUUGAUAUAUUUUGUGGUAUUUGAUUUUUUUGUGGUAUUACUAUUUUGCAUAAAUGUUAAUGAAAAAUAUCAUUUUAACAAUUGUAAAAACAUUGCAGUGAUGCUUUCAAGAGUUCUUCCUAUUGACUUAGAAAUACUCAUUCAAUUUCCCAAAAUAAAGUAAAAUUUAAAAUCUAAGUAGAAAGGAACCACCACAUCAGAGUCUGAGUUAACACAAACUUGCUCUGGCAUAAUUGAAAAAUCACUAUGCUAAACUUUGUAAAGAAUACACCACCAUUCCCCCACCCCCCAUGAAGUACACCCUAGAGUGUUUGAAGAUUAUAUUAUGAGUGGCCCAAAUGCCUGUGUUUGGCAUUUGUUAAACAAUCCUAGAGGAGCUGCCAUCCUUGGGGUUCUGUGGGUUCAUCCAUGGCUGACACCUCUCAUCCUGAAUCCCUUGGGUCUCACAGGCCCUGGAACAAUCUAUAUUCUCCCGGUUGAAGAUGACAGCAUGUCAGUGUACUUAAAAUUCAAUUUCAUUCUUCCUAAUCUAUGCACCAUUAUGCAGGUCUUUGAAAUAGUCUCCAAAGAAGGUAAGUCUAUAUUGAUUCCAUUCCCUUACAUAGCAACUGGUGUGUAGCAACCCAUAGUAUAAUAUGAGGGGGAGAAAAUAUUGAUUCUGGGAAACUUAAUAUUAUUAAAAGACAGUUGUAUUAAAUCUCUUUCCUGGAUUUAGCUGAGCACUUUUUUUUUCAUUUUUCCAUUUUCAAAAAAAUCAAUGAAGCUAAUACUCUUGUUAGUUUUAGAGUUUCUACGACAGCAGUUUCAUGUCACCAUAGAACCUACGGGAGGUUUGUAGGCUCAGCACUCAAGGCUUGGAGUCCUCUGCUGACUGAUGAGCAUAACAUUUCUCUCUUCAGUUAUUCCGGCCACUCAGAGCGGAAUCCAGCAUGCUGCCUCCUCCUUGCUCGCCUGGACCAUGGCAACGGCCUCCUGAAGGGCUUCCAACCAGUAUCUCUUCCCCAACCUCUGCAAUCAGAGGGAGCCUCCAGAAAAAAAAAAAAAGGUGUCAAAUGAUAUGGAAAACCACCAUGGGCUUGACACCGCCUGUUGGAUAAAACAGUCAUCAGCACUGAGUACCCCAGCGAGGCUUUACAUGGAGAGAUGAGGAAGAAGAGCCCAGGCAGGCAGCAAAGAAGAAAUACCUACGUCAUACUUGGGUCAUGGUAAGAAGACCAAAUUGGCUCGAAAAGGGAUUUUUUAUAAGUGAUGGUUAUAGAAGAUAACUUCAAAGAGGUGAAGGGGGUCCAGAUCAGUGAAGACUUGAAAGGCUCAGCCUGAGACUUUCUGACUUUAUCCCUCAUGCCAUGGGGAGCCAUAGAAUGUUCAUAAGCAGAAGAGGCAGAUAAAAGCACAGUCCAGUUGGAAUCACCAAUCACUCCCCCAAUAGCACACACACCAUUGAAUGUCAUUAGGCUACUAAUUAUUUUUCCUAGUGACCACCCCCAUUGUCUUUCACUAAGAAAAAACAAUUUAUUGACAAGUAAUUCUUUAGGUGCUUCCCUUUCACACACUUUCAAUUUUUAAGUAACACUUUAUACUGGCCUAACAAACAUAAAUGACAUUCUAGAGAUUUACAAUAUAUUAGUAUAAUAUUAGUGUACGAUUUAACGUGUUGGCUCUUUCUCCAGAGAUGGAAAAA
RNAcentral lists this long non-coding RNA (2870 nucleotides) under Homo sapiens (human). RNAcentral's name for it is "HSALNT0273186". The record is from RNAcentral. Lineage: Eukaryota; Metazoa; Chordata; Mammalia; Primates; Hominidae.